This 452-nucleotide long non-coding RNA is filed under the name Sorghum bicolor (sorghum). RNAcentral's name for it is "long non-coding RNA (SBIC_LNC008826)". Lineage: Eukaryota; Viridiplantae; Streptophyta; Magnoliopsida; Poales; Poaceae. The record is from RNAcentral.
UUUCUGUGGUUAGUGUUCUGAUGUCCCGAAAUAAAUAAUCUUUGAAGUAAUUCUUGAUUCUUGGAUCAACUAGAGAACUCUCAGGAAACUUCCUCUCUUCCCACCAAAAAUAAUUAUAUAGUUAUCCUUGGGCGAUCUUGAAUCUUAAUUAGUACAUUCACGUUCUCUGUGGAAAAUCGAUACUCUAGAAUACUCCCGGGUGAAAGCUACAUUGGUAUCCGUGCGCUUGUGGAUAUAUUUUUCCGUUUGCGUUUAAAAUACCCAACAGGGCCUCAACCUCGCGAGCCCUCUCUAAAGAGCAGCAAGUGGGUACUGUAACAGAACCGCCCAAUUUACAAGAGAUCAACUAUGAAAAAUUCCCGACAAAGCAGUUGCUUUAACAUAAUCGAACUCUCAUAAGCCCGGUAGUCCGUGAAAUCACGAGGGAUUUCAAACCAACCAUCUUACAAGCC